GAUGAAUUUGGUGCUUGCACCAAAUGAAACUAGAUACAAGCGAGCGGCGGACGGGUGAGUAACACGUGGGUAACCUGCCCAAGAGACUGGGAUAACACCUGGAAACAGAUGCUAAUACCGGAUAACAACGCUAGACGCAUGUCUAGAGUUUAAAAGAUGGUUCUGCUAUCACUCUUGGAUGGACCUGCGGCGCAUUAGCUAGUUGGUAAGGUAACGGCUUACCAAGGCAAUGAUGCAUAGCCGAGUUGAGAGACUGAUCGGCCACAUUGGGACUGAGACACGGCCCAAACUCCUACGGGAGGCAGCAGUAGGGAAUCUUCCACAAUGGACGCAAGUCUGAUGGAGCAACGCCGCGUGAGUGAAGAAGGGUUUCGGCUCGUAAAGCUCUGUUGGUAGUGAAGAAAGAUAGAGGUAGUAACUGGCCUUUAUUUGACGGUAAUUACUUAGAAAGUCACGGCUAACUACGUGCCAGCAGCCGCGGUAAUACGUAGGUGGCAAGCGUUGUCCGGAUUUAUUGGGCGUAAAGCGAGUGCAGGCGGUUCAAUAAGUCUGAUGUGAAAGCCUUCGGCUCAACCGGAGAAUUGCAUCAGAAACUGUUGAACUUGAGUGCAGAAGAGGAGAGUGGAACUCCAUGUGUAGCGGUGGAAUGCGUAGAUAUAUGGAAGAACACCAGUGGCGAAGGCGGCU
This 687-nucleotide ribosomal RNA is filed under the name uncultured Bacilli bacterium. Its description in RNAcentral is "bacterial SSU rRNA". It matches the Rfam family "Bacterial small subunit ribosomal RNA", at positions 66 to 726 of the family's 1533-position model. Lineage: Bacteria; Bacillati; Bacillota; Bacilli. The record is from RNAcentral.